AUACUUACCUGCAGUGGAGACACCAUGAUCACGAAAGUUGUUUUCCCAGGGAGAGGCUUACUAUCCUUUGCAAUCCGGAUUUGCUGACCCCAGUGAUUUCCCCAAAUGUAGCAGACGCAACUGCAUAAUUUGUGGUUGUGGGGGACUGCAUUUGUGCUCUCACUGG
Talpa occidentalis (Iberian mole) is the source of this 166-nucleotide small nuclear RNA. RefSeq annotates it as U1 spliceosomal RNA. The transcript has a single exon. The record is from RefSeq and is a predicted model, not a curated record. NCBI's taxonomy places the organism in Eukaryota, Metazoa, Chordata, Mammalia, Eulipotyphla, Talpidae.